Molecule: RNA transcript, 1993 nt
Organism: Cornus florida
Lineage: Eukaryota; Viridiplantae; Streptophyta; Magnoliopsida; Cornales; Cornaceae
Gene name: protein SRC2-like
Exons: 5
Source: RefSeq, a predicted model, not a curated record
UCUGAGAAAAAAGAAAAAAAGAAGGAAAAAAACGAAAAGAAAAGAUUUUUUUUUUUUCAAAUCUAAUCCUAUCUGAGAAAAAAGAAAAAAGGAACUUUCCGAAGAAAAAAACAGAAAAAAGGAAGGAAAAAAAGAAAAGAGAAGGCUUCUUCUCCAGCGGCGGACAUCGCACACCUCACAUGGCUUCUUCUCGUCCUCCAUCGGAGUCGGAGCCGUUCGACCUCGACAUCACGAUCGUCUCCGCCAAGCACCUCAAGAACGUGAACUGGCGAUACGGCGAUCUCAAGCCCUAUGCCAUCUUUUGGGUCGACCCGGCCCGUCGUAACACCACCAAGUCCGACGACUCCGGCUCCACCCGACCCGUCUGGAACGAGCGCUUCCUCAUCCCUUUCACCCUCCCUCUCCACCACUCCUUCCUCACCGUCGAAAUCUUCCACUCCUACCCAACCGAGACCCCCAAACCCUUAGUCGGCACUCUCCGAAUCGCACUCCAAAACCUGUUCGACUCGGACGAUUCCAACCCACUCAGAACCCUCCAGCUCCUCCGUCCCUCAGGCCGCCCUCAGGGUAAGAUCCGUGUCAAACUCGCCCUCCGCGAACACCCAUCUCCGCCGCCUGUGCCGGCUUACCAUAUCACCCCUCUGCCAAACUUUUAUUACCCUACUGCCCCUCCCCCCCUCUACCGGGGAUACUCUACCUCGCCGUCCACCGCCACCCUCCCGCCACCAUCACAGGUGGCGUUCCCAUCUCCGUCACGGCCACUGCAUACCCAUGCGUAUGGCGCGUACUCGGAUCCGAAUUCGGGGCACUACUACGGGUAUUACUCUCAGCCUCCACCGCCGACAUUGAUACCGUCACCGCCUCUGCCGUCCUUCGACUGGCAGUCUAGUUGUGGUGGGCCGAGCGCCCCGGUGGAUUAUACACCGUAUGAUCAGAGGCCAAAGGGGGCAAAGAUGGGAUUCGGCACGGGAUUAGCGGUUGGAGCAGUUGCGGGGGCAAUGGGAGGGCUGGCAUUGGAGGAAGGGUUGAAAGAUGAGGAGGACAGAAUUUCUGAGAGAGGAGAGAACGAUUUGGCUGCAAGGAACUAUUACAGCAAGUACUGGGUUGAUUAUGGAUGUAAUUAAAUUCUAGGGCUCGGAGUCUUACCAUGAGGGUGGAAGAUAUUCUAUGUGGCCGAACAACUAUGAAGGCAUUCUUUAUGUUUAUGAAUGGGUGAUGUGACACAUAUGGUGCUUUGUACAAGUAGUGUUUAUUCACGAGGAUGGAUCAUGGAAUUCAAUGAUGGUUUCUUUGUUCCUAGUCAUUUUCAUAUCUCAUGUUGAUGAAGGUGCCGAGUGCAUAGGUGAAGUUCAAAAGUGCUUCUCUUGAUCCAAGGAUGUUCCUCCAUGUUUUAUGACCUUGUUUGGCUAUUUGGAGUAUGCAGUUACGGCAACAAGAAGUUUAAAAACAAAUAGCUUUGAGAACAGAUGGUUACAAGUUUGAGUCUCAGGCGAUGCUUUAUAAGCGCCAAUGCUCAUCUGCUCCGGGUGAAUACCUUUAGCUAACUUGGAGAUUGCCCUCCGUGGCUCCACCUCUCAAUAGGUUGUAUAAAAAAAGUUUGUUGUGGUGUCAUCAUGCUCCAUGUACCUCCUUUUGUAGGGUGGUAAACCAUCUCAUGCUGUCUGUUUGAAGUCUAUGGAUGGCCCUAGGGCAACUUUCCAGCAUGAAUAGGGGUAUCAGACAAAGGGUCCAUGCAGGAGGUGGAGGCGGUUAUGGCGGAGGGCCUGAGCUACGCUACUACGGUAUGGUGGUGACGGUCUCAUUACUUUAGGAAAAGCGGUGCAUCAGAUUGGAAAAGUUUUUUUUUUUUUGGUCAAUCUGGGUCGAUGAUCAUAAUCCGCAACAUGCGAAUUUGUUGGCAUAUGCUUCUGAAAGGGUGAAAUGCUGUUUGUGAUAUCUAAUGAAGUAAAAAAUGAUAUAUAUAUAUAUAUCUAUCUGUGUGUGUGUAUGUAAA